UCAGAAAUGGCUCAAGUGGUAGAGUGCCUGCCUUCCAAGCACAAGGCUCUGAGUUCAAACCUCAUUACUGAC
This 72-nucleotide transfer RNA is filed under the name Dipodomys ordii (Ord's kangaroo rat). It matches the Rfam family "tRNA". Rfam says of the family: Transfer RNA (tRNA) molecules are approximately 80 nucleotides in length. Their secondary structure includes four short double-helical elements and three loops (D, anti-codon, and T loops). Further hydrogen bonds mediate the characteristic L-shaped molecular structure. tRNAs have two regions of fundamental functional importance: the anti-codon, which is responsible for specific mRNA codon recognition, and the 3' end, to which the tRNAs corresponding amino acid is attached (by aminoacyl-tRNA synthetases). tRNAs cope with the degeneracy of the genetic code in two manners: having more than one tRNA (with a specific anti-codon) for a particular amino acid; and 'wobble' base-pairing, i.e. permitting non-standard base-pairing at the 3rd anti-codon position. Lineage: Eukaryota; Metazoa; Chordata; Mammalia; Rodentia; Heteromyidae. The record is from Rfam by way of RNAcentral.